CCAGAAAAAAGCCAUUGCUUAAAGAAGAAAAAUAAGCAAAAAGGAAUGAUGGAUGGCGCUAAAUACAAGGAAAUUAUUGUAUACAGUUCUAACUUCCACAGGUGGAUGAACAGUUUCAACCUGUAAAAAAUGAUUGAGGGAAACCCGUUUCAGUCAUCCAGAGUCUUGAGACUGGGAUGGAAGUUCAUCUUUCCACCAGGACAAAGACCCUAAGCAUACUGCUAUAGCAACACUCGAGUGGUUAACGGGGAAACAUUUAAAUUUCUUGGAGUGGCCUAGUCAAAGCCCAGACCUCAAUCCAAUUGAGAAUGUGUGGUAUGACUUAACGUACACCAGUGGAACCCAUCCAACUUUAAGGAGCUGGAGCAGUUUUGCCUUGAAGAAUGGGCAAACAUCCCAGUGGCUAGAUGUGCCAAGCUUAUAGAUACAUAUCCCGAGAGACUUGCAGCUGUAAUUGCCUGUUGAUUCGUGAUAAAAUAGGGAACUAGGCAGCUGAUUUUACAGGUAAGGGAGAUUGUGGACCUCAACAGUGCUCCAGCUAUAUAUCGGAGUAUUGAGUCUAAAAUACAAACUUUUCCAGAUCAGCCAAUUAGACCAAAGAAACACUAUAAAGUCCAUUAUCAUAAACGCAUCUUUCAGUUUGGACUGCUCAUCCACCUGUGGAAGUUAGAGUUUGAAAGUUAACAUACAUACGUCAGGUGUUGUGCAAUAACUUUUAAAAACUUAAAAAAAAAAAAAAACUGUGGUGCCUUAGCAGACUUUUGUAGGCUCAUUCAGUGGAAAGAUGAGUUUGUCUUGGAAGACCAAAAUGAGAAUAUCAAAGGGAUUAUCCUCAAUACCUUUCCCUAUCUCCCUGGGGAUUGUUUCCGUGCUUCAGACAUGUGGUGUCCAGUCCGUUGAUGACCUUAAAUAUGUCCAACAAGAGGACAUUAAAAGACCUGUUGCCUAUUAUACAGCAAAGAAAAAUACUGGAAGCUUUCAGAAUAGGCAAUACUUAUCCAGACAGAUUUAUUUUCAUCAGGUACAUUCAUUGUCAUCUAAUAAAGUGUAAUCCUUGCUGCGUACAGUGCGUACCAUUAUCCACUGCAAAUUUCAUUAGAUCAACGGUUCCCAAACUUUUUAGGGCCAUGCCCCCUCUUCUGCAUCCCGACUGGAAUAAUGUGCCAAUGCAAAUCCCCACAAUAAAACAAAAAGAAAAGAAACAGCCUAUUUAUAGGCCCAAUGAGAGUACAGUUUACCCAUGCCCGGCGGCCCGUGUCCUGCAGCCAACACCCCAUGCCCGGCUACUUUUUGCCCACCGGAGGUUCCCUGACCGCCGUCCCGGGCCGCUUACUGGAGUUCCCCCAGCUGCCGUCC
This is a long non-coding RNA of Gasterosteus aculeatus aculeatus (three-spined stickleback), 1356 nucleotides long. NCBI's taxonomy places the organism in Eukaryota, Metazoa, Chordata, Actinopteri, Perciformes, Gasterosteidae. The record is from Ensembl.